CGCCAGCCUGACGGAGCCAGACCGCGUGGGGGAGGAAGGCCCUUGGGUUGUAAACCCCUUUUCUCAGGGAAGAAACCUGACGGUACCUGAGGAAAAAGCCUCGGCUAACUCCGUGCCAGCAGCCGCGGUAAUACGGAGGAGGCAAGCGUUAUCCGGAAUUAUUGGGCGUAAAGCGUCCGCAGGGGGCACAUCAAGUCUGCUGUUAAAGGCUGGAGCUUAACUCCGGUUAGGCAGUGGAAACUGGUGCGCUAGAGGGCGACAGGGGUAGAGGGAAUUCCCAGUGUAGCGGUGAAAUGCGUAGAGAUUGGAAAGAACACCGGUGGCGAAAGCGCUCUACUGGGUCGCGCCUGACCCUCAGGGACGAAAGCUAAGGUAGCG
Molecule: ribosomal RNA, 378 nt
Filed under: uncultured cyanobacterium
Lineage: Bacteria; Bacillati; Cyanobacteriota
Description: bacterial SSU rRNA
Rfam family: Bacterial small subunit ribosomal RNA
Source: RNAcentral